CUACACAUAGUGUUUCUCUGCCUGG
This 25-nucleotide unclassified non-coding RNA is filed under the name Mus musculus (house mouse). Its description in RNAcentral is "oocyte_clustered_small_RNA7996". The record is from RNAcentral. Lineage: Eukaryota; Metazoa; Chordata; Mammalia; Rodentia; Muridae.